CCUACGGGUGGCUGCAGUGGGGAAUAUUGGACAAUGGGCGAAAGCCUGAUCCAGCCAUGCCGCGUGUGUGAAGAAGGCCUUCGGGUUGUAAAGCACUUUCAGAGGGGAAGAAAGCCUUGGGGCUAAUACCCUCGAGGAAGGACAUCACCCACAGAAGAAGCACCGGCUAACUCCGUGCCAGCAGCCGCGGUAAUACGGAGGGUGCGAGCGUUAAUCGGAAUUACUGGGCGUAAAGCGCGCGUAGGCGGUCUGAUAAGCCGGUUGUGAAAGCCCCGGGCUCAACCUGGGAACGGCAUCCGGGACUGUCAGGCUAGAGUGCAGGAGAGGAAGGUAGAAUUCCCGGUGUAGCGGUGAAAUGCGUAGAGAUCGGGAGGAAUACCAGUGGCGAAGGCGGCCUUCUGGACUGACACUGACGCUGAGGUGCGAAAGCGUGGGUAGCAAACAGGAUUAGAUACCCAGGUAGUC
RNAcentral lists this ribosomal RNA (465 nucleotides) under Vreelandella stevensii. RNAcentral's name for it is "partial 16S ribosomal RNA". It matches the Rfam family "Bacterial small subunit ribosomal RNA", at positions 338 to 795 of the family's 1533-position model. The record is from RNAcentral. Lineage: Bacteria; Pseudomonadati; Pseudomonadota; Gammaproteobacteria; Oceanospirillales; Halomonadaceae.